AUCAACUUUCGAUGGUAGGAUAGAGGCCUACCAUGGUGGUAACGGGUAACGGGGUGUUAGGGCACGACACCGGAGAGGGAGCCUGAGAAACGGCUACCACAUCCAAGGAUGGCAGCAGGCGCGCAAAUUACCCAAUCCCGACACGGGGAGGUAGUGACAAUAAAUAACAAUACGGGGUCCUUUCGGGUCUCGUAAUUGGAAUGAGUACAAUUUAAAUCUCUUAACGGGGAACAAUUGGAGGGCAAGUCUGGUGCCAGCAGCCGCGGUAAUUCCAGCUCCAAUAGCGUAUAUUAAAGUUGUUGCAGUUAAAAAGCUCGUAGUUGAAUUUCGGGAUCAGUACGCUGGUCGUGCCUUCGGUAUGUACUGGUGUCACUGAUUCCUCCCUUCUGACGAACCGCUAUGCCAUUUAUUUGGUGUGGCGGGGAAUCAGGACUGUUACUUUGAAAAAAUUAGAGUGUUUAAAGCAGGCUCGCGCCUGAAUACAUUAGCAUGGAAUAAUGAAAUAGGACGUUUGAUUCUAUUUUGUUGGUUUCUAGGAUCGACGUAAUGAUUAAUAGGGAUAGUUGGGGGCAUUAGUAUUCAAUUGUCAGAGGUGAAAUUCUUGGAUUUAUUGAAGACUAACUACUGCGAAAGCAUUUGCCAAGGAUGUUUUCAUUAAUCAAGAACGAAAGUUAGGGGAUCGAAGACGAUCAGAUACCGUCGUAGUCUUAACCAUAAACUAUGCCGACUAGGGAUCGGAUGAUGUUAAUUUUAUAAUGACUCAUUCGGCACCUUACGGGAAACCAAAGUGUUUGGGUUC
RNAcentral lists this ribosomal RNA (799 nucleotides) under uncultured Glomus. Its description in RNAcentral is "SSU rRNA". It matches the Rfam family "Eukaryotic small subunit ribosomal RNA", at positions 314 to 1114 of the family's 1831-position model. Lineage: Eukaryota; Fungi; Glomeromycota; Glomeromycetes; Glomerales; Glomeraceae. The record is from RNAcentral.